Molecule: microRNA, 23 nt
Filed under: Schistosoma japonicum
Lineage: Eukaryota; Metazoa; Platyhelminthes; Trematoda; Strigeidida; Schistosomatidae
Description: sja-miR-3098*
Source: RNAcentral
ACACGAAACGGACUGAGUUCGAA